GCAUUGGUGGUUCAGUGGUAGAAUUCUUGCCUUCUACCCAGAAGACGUGGAUUUAAUUUCUGGCCAAUGCA
RNAcentral lists this transfer RNA (71 nucleotides) under Loxodonta africana (African savanna elephant). It matches the Rfam family "tRNA". Rfam says of the family: Transfer RNA (tRNA) molecules are approximately 80 nucleotides in length. The record is from Rfam by way of RNAcentral. Lineage: Eukaryota; Metazoa; Chordata; Mammalia; Proboscidea; Elephantidae.